CAUUCACGGAGAGUUUGAUCCUGGCUCAGGACGAACGCUGGCGGCGUGCUUAACACAUGCAAGUCGAACGAUGAACCACUUCGGUGGGGAUUAGUGGCGAACGGGUGAGUAACACGUGGGCAAUCUGCCCUGCACUCUGGGACAAGCCCUGGAAACGGGGUCUAAUACCGGAUACAACCACUGACCGCAUGGUCGGGUGGUGGAAAGCUCCGGCGGUGCAGGAUGAGCCCGCGGCCUAUCAGCUUGUUGGUGAGGUAGUGGCUCACCAAGGCGACGACGGGUAGCCGGCCUGAGAGGGCGACCGGCCACACUGGGACUGAGACACGGCCCAGACUCCUACGGGAGGCAGCAGUGGGGAAUAUUGCACAAUGGGCGAAAGCCUGAUGCAGCGACGCCGCGUGAGGGAUGACGGCCUUCGGGUUGUAAACCUCUUUCAGCAGGGAAGAAGCGAAAGUGACGGUACCUGCAGAAGAAGCGCCGGCUAACUACGUGCCAGCAGCCGCGGUAAUACGUAGGGCGCAAGCGUUGUCCGGAAUUAUUGGGCGUAAAGAGCUCGUAGG
RNAcentral lists this ribosomal RNA (560 nucleotides) under Streptomyces griseoaurantiacus. RNAcentral describes it as "bacterial SSU rRNA". It matches the Rfam family "Bacterial small subunit ribosomal RNA", at positions 1 to 575 of the family's 1533-position model. Lineage: Bacteria; Bacillati; Actinomycetota; Actinomycetes; Kitasatosporales; Streptomycetaceae. The record is from RNAcentral.